AGAAUCAACGCUGGCGGCGUGCCUCAGACAUGCAAGUCGAACGCGAAAGUCCCCUUCGGGGGCAAGUAGAGUGGCGCACGGGUGAGUAACACGUAGGUAAUCUACCUUUGGAUGGGGAAUAACAAUCGGAAACGGUUGCUAAUACCGCAUAAUGCAGCGGCACCUAAUGGUGACAGUUGUUAAAGCGGGGAUCGAAAGACCUCGCGUCUGAAGAGGAGCCUGCGGCGGAUUAGCUAGUUGGUAAGGUAAUGGCUUACCAAGGCAACGAUCCGUAACCGGCCUGAGAGGGCGUUCGGCACGACUGACACUGACAUACGGGUCAGACUCCUACGGAGGCAGCAGUCGGAAUUUUGGGCAAUGGGCAAAGCCUGACCCAGCAACGCGCGUAGAAGGAUGAAAUCCCGUCGGUACUGUAAACUUCGCGAACGAACGGAAGAAGUAAAGUUAGGGAACAAGUAACCCCCUAUACGAGUAGACGUACCGUUAGUAAGCUACGGCCUAACUCCGUAGCCAGCACGCCGACGUA
RNAcentral lists this ribosomal RNA (526 nucleotides) under uncultured soil bacterium. Its description in RNAcentral is "bacterial SSU rRNA". It matches the Rfam family "Bacterial small subunit ribosomal RNA", at positions 26 to 525 of the family's 1533-position model. The record is from RNAcentral.